UACAUAGGUCUCAAGCGUUGUUCGGAUUCAUUGGGCGUAAAGGGUGCGUAGGUGGCGGGGUAAGUCUGGUGUGAAAUCCUGGGGCUCAACCCCGGAACUGCACUGGAUACUGCUUUGCUAGAGUACUGGAGAGGGAACUGGAAUUUACGGUGUAGCAGUGAAAUGCGUAGAUAUCGUAAGGAAGACCAGUGGCGAAGGCGAGUUCCUGGACAGUUACUGACACUGAGGCACGAAGGCCAGGGGAGCAAACGGG
RNAcentral lists this ribosomal RNA (253 nucleotides) under uncultured bacterium. RNAcentral's name for it is "partial 16S ribosomal RNA". It matches the Rfam family "Bacterial small subunit ribosomal RNA", at positions 524 to 776 of the family's 1533-position model. The record is from RNAcentral.